Molecule: ribosomal RNA, 353 nt
Filed under: uncultured bacterium
Lineage: Bacteria
Description: bacterial SSU rRNA
Rfam family: Bacterial small subunit ribosomal RNA
Source: RNAcentral
AACGAACGCUGGCGGCAUGCCUAACACAUGCAAGUCGAACGUGAUCCGGGGCUUCGGCUCCGGUGAAAGUGGCGGACGGGUGAGUAACGCGUGGGAACCUGCCCAGUGGUAGGGGAUAACCGCGGGAAACUGCGGCUAAUACCCUAUGCGCCCUAUGGGGCAAAGAUUUAUCGCCAUUGGAGGGGCCCCGCGUCGGAUUAGGUAGUUGGUGAGGUAACGGCUCACCAAGCCUUCGAUCCGUAGCUGGCUGAGAGGAUGAUCAGCCACACUGGACUGAGACACGGCCCAGACUCCUACGGGAGGCAGCAGUGGGGAGUAUUGGACAAUGGGGGCAACCCUGAUCCAGCAAUGCC